UGUCGUGGGGGAUAACACAGCGAAAGCUGUGCUAAUACCGCAUACGACCUGAGGGUGAAAGCGGGGGAUCGCAAGACCUCGCGCGAUAGGAGCGGCCGAUAUCGGAUUAGCUUGUUGGUGAGGUAAAGGCUCACCAAGGCGACGAUCCGUAGCUGGUCUGAGAGGACGACCAGCCACACUGGAACUGAGACACGGUCCAGACUCCUACGGGAGGCAGCAGUGGGGAAUUUUGGACAAUGGGGGCAACCCUGAUCCAGCCAUUCCGCGUGAGUGAAGAAGGCCUUCGGGUUGUAAAGCUCUUUCAGCAGGAACGAAACGGUGGCUACUAAUACUAGCUACUAAUGACGGUACCUGAAGAAGAAGCGCCGGCUAGCUACGUGCCAGCAGCCGCGGUAAUACGUAGGGUGCGAGCGUUAAUCGGAAUUACUGGGCGUAAAGCGUGCGCAGGCGGUUAUGUAAGACAGGUGUGAAAUCCCCGGGCUUAACCUGGGAACUGCGCUUGUGACUGCAUAACUCGAGUGUGGCAGAGGGGGGUGGAAUUCCACGUGUAGCAGUGGAAUGCGUAGAGAUGUGGAGGAACACCGAUGGCGAAGGCAGCCCCCUGGGUCAACACUGACGCUCAUGCACGAAAGCGUGGGGAGCAAACAGGAUUAGAUACCCUGGUAGUCCACGCCCUAAACGAUGCGAACUAGGUGUUGGGGAAGGAGACUUUCUUAGUACCGCAGCUAACGCGUGAAGUUCGCCGCCUGGGGAGUACGGUCGCAAGAUUAAAACUCAAAGGAAUUGACGGGGACCCGCACAAGCGGUGGAUGAUGUGGAUUAAUUCGAUGCAACGCGAAAAACCUUACCUACCCUUGACAUGUCAGUAAGUCCGCUGAGAGGUGGAUGUGCUCGAAAGAGAACCUGAACACAGGUGCUGCAUGGCUGUCGUCAGCUCGUGUCGUGAGAUGUUGGGUUAAGUCCCGCAACGAGCGCAACCCUUGUCAUUAAUUGCCAUCAUUCAGUUGGGCACUUUAAUGAGACUGCCGGUGACAAACCGGAGGAAGGUGGGGAUGACGUCAAGUCCUCAUGGCCCUUAUGGGUAGGGCUUCACACGUCAUACAAUGGUCGGUACAGAGGGUCGCCAACCCGCGAGGGGGAGCCAAUCCCACAAAGCCGAUCGUAGUCCGGAUCGCAGUCUGCAACUCGACUGCGUGAAGUCGGAAUCGCUAGUAAUCGUGGAUCAGCAUGUCACGGUGAAUACGUUGA
Molecule: ribosomal RNA, 1248 nt
Filed under: metagenome
Description: bacterial SSU rRNA
Rfam family: Bacterial small subunit ribosomal RNA
Source: RNAcentral